RNAcentral lists this long non-coding RNA (1807 nucleotides) under Homo sapiens (human). Its description in RNAcentral is "non-protein coding lnc-POMP-3:2". Lineage: Eukaryota; Metazoa; Chordata; Mammalia; Primates; Hominidae. The record is from RNAcentral.
GUUAGUCUAGGAAUACAGGUAUGAUUUCAAUAUUAAGAAACCUGUCAACAUAAUUCAUCAUGCCAGCAAAUUAGCGGGGGAAAAAUAGUGAUUAUAUAAAUAGAUGAUUAAAAGGCAUUUGAAAAAGUUGAGCAGUCAUCCCAAUUAAAAACUCUCUGUAACAUCUGACUAGAUGUUUUAGUCAGCAGAAGCUAACUUGUCCUACAAAGAGCCCCAAACUUUAUUGGCUUGACACAGUAAGUUAUUUUUCCUCAUGUCAUAAUCCAGUGUGGGACAACAAUGGAGCUCUCCUACCCACAGUCAUUCAAAGACCUGGGCUCUUUCCAUCAGUAGUUCUUCCAUCUUCUAGAAAGAUGUCCCAAGUCCUCUGCAUCUGACUGGUAGAGAAAGGAAGGCAGUGUGGAGAGUGUGGGAGGCUCAGGGUUAGUACUGGAAACAUAAUCUCUUUUUUCCACCCACAUUCUUCUGAUCAAAAUUCAGUUAGGUUGGGUCUACAUAACCAUAAGCAAGACUGGAAAAUGUAGUUGAUCUGAUUAUAUAAAUAGAUGAUUAAAAGGCAUUUGAAAAAGUUGAGCAGUCAUCCCAAUUAAAAACUCUCUGUAACAUCUGACUAGAUGUUUUAGUCAGCAGAAGCUAACUUGUCCUACAAAGAGCCCCAAACUUUAUUGGCUUGACACAGUAAGUUAUUUUUCCUCAUGUCAUAAUCCAGUGUGGGACAACAAUGGAGCUCUCCUACCCACAGUCAUUCAAAGACCUGGGCUCUUUCCAUCAGUAGUUCUUCCAUCUUCUAGAAAGAUGUCCCAAGUCCUCUGCAUCUGACUGGUAGAGAAAGGAAGGCAGUGUGGAGAGUGUGGGAGGCUCAGGGUUAGUACUGGAAACAUAAUCUCUUUUUUCCACCCACAUUCUUCUGAUCAAAAUUCAGUUAGGUUGGGUCUACAUAACCAUAAGCAAGACUGGAAAAUGUAGUUGAUCUCUGUUCUCAGGAGAAAAGGAAAAUGUAUGGGUGAGCAUCUAGCCAGUCUCUGCCACAGAAAGUUACCACCUAAAAUAUUAAAGACCUUACCAAAAAACUAAUAACAUAUAUCGUCCCAAAGAGUGAAACACUAAAUAUACUUACACUGAAAUCAGGAAAAAAACUGGGACAUUCACUAUCACCAUUAUUUAUUCAACAUUAUUUUGGAGGUUUUAGCAGGUACAGUAAGAUAAGGAAAGAAAAUAAUAUAAAUUUGGGAAAGAAGAGAUUAAAUUAUCUUUUUGCUGAUAAUAUGCCAACAUACUUAGAAGCUCUAAGAUAUGCUUUUAAAAAGAACAUAUCUGUUUAAUUAACAUGGCUGGACACAAGAUAAAUACACAAAGAUACAUAAAUAUGUGAAUAUACAUACGUGUGUACAUUGUUCUCCAUAUGUUCUCUUCGUUUGCUUCUAUCUAAAUAACUCUUGGGGUUUACACAAGCUCUCAAUGUCAUCUGUGAAACCUACAGACUAUUGCUUAUGGCAGAAAAAAUGCACUCAACUUGUGAGCUACUCGCUUACAUAACCAUGUACUCCACUUUUACCAGAUGAGUUGUUUGUUUACCAAUUUCUAGUUGUGCUUGCUCCUAAACAUUUUUAUGACAGUUGUACUGUUAUUAUAAACCAAGUAACUUGAACAAAUACUACUGAAGCCAACACAUAAUAAUGUGAUAAGAAUGAAUUUUUGUUUUCAUGGAAGCUGUUGUCUGCUUUAGAAAGGUUCAAUAAAGACAGGUUGCAAAAAAAUGCUGUUGGUUUGGGCAUAACAAUUGUAAAGCAUAAGGAGAAAAUUUUAA